GACGAACGCUGGCGGCGUGCCUAAUACAUGCAAGUUGAGCGAUGAAGAUUGGUGCUUGCACCAAUUUGAAGAGCAGCGAACGGGUGAGUAACGCGUGGGGAAUCUGCCUUUGAGCGGGGGACAACAUUUGGAAACGAAUGCUAAUACCGCAUAAUAACUUUAAACAUAAGUUUUAAGUUUGAAAGAUGCAAUUGCAUCACUCAAAGAUGAUCCCGCGUUGUAUUAGCUAGUUGGUGAGGUAAAGGCUCACCAAGGCGAUGAUACAUAGCCGACCUGAGAGGGUGAUCGGCCACAUUGGGACUGAGACACGGCCCAAACUCCUACGGGAGGCAGCAGUAGGGAAUCUUCGGCAAUGGACGAAAGUCUGACCGAGCAACGCCGCGUGAGUGAAGAAGGUUGUCGGAUCGUAAAACUCUGUUGGUAGAGAAGAACGUUGGUGAGAGUGGAAAGCUCAUCAAGUGACGGUAACUACACAGAAAGGGACGGCUAACUACGUG
This 497-nucleotide ribosomal RNA is filed under the name uncultured bacterium. RNAcentral's name for it is "partial 16S ribosomal RNA". It matches the Rfam family "Bacterial small subunit ribosomal RNA", at positions 28 to 507 of the family's 1533-position model. The record is from RNAcentral.